UACGUAGGUGGCAAGCGUUGUCCGGAUUUACUGGGCGUAAAGAGCGCGCAGGCGGUCGUUCAAGUCGCGUGUGAAAGCCCCCGGCUCAACUGGGGAGGGUCACGCGAUACUGAUCGACUCGAAGGCAGGAGAGGGAAGUGGAAUUCCCGGUGUAGUGGUGAAAUGCGUAGAUAUCGGGGAGGAACACCAGUGGCGAAGGCGGGUUGCUGGGCUGAUACUGACGCUGAGGCGCGAAAGCCAGGGGAGCGAACGGG
This 254-nucleotide ribosomal RNA is filed under the name uncultured bacterium. RNAcentral describes it as "partial 16S ribosomal RNA". It matches the Rfam family "Bacterial small subunit ribosomal RNA", at positions 524 to 776 of the family's 1533-position model. The record is from RNAcentral.